GAUGAAGAACGUAGCGAAAUGCGAUACGUAAUGUGAAUUGCAAAUUCAGUGAAUCAUCGAGUCUUUGAACGCACAUUGCGCCCCCUGGUACUCCGGGGGGCAUGCCUGUCCGAGCGUCAUUGCUGCCCUCAAGCACGGCUUGUGUGUUGGGCCCCGUCCUCCGAUUCCGGGGGACGGGCCCGAAAGGCAGCGGCGGCACCGCGUCCGGUCCUCGAGCGUAUGGGGCUUUGUCACCCGCUCUGUAGGCCCGGCCGGCGCUUGCCGAUCAACCCAAAUUUUUAUCCAGGUUGACCUCGGAUCAGGUAGGGAUACCCGCUGAACUUAAGCAUAUCAAUAAGCGGAGGA
This 345-nucleotide unclassified non-coding RNA is filed under the name soil metagenome. RNAcentral describes it as "partial contains 5.8S ribosomal RNA, internal transcribed spacer 2, and large subunit ribosomal RNA". The stretch from base 1 to 119 matches the Rfam family "5.8S ribosomal RNA", at positions 35 to 154 of the family's 154-position model. The record is from RNAcentral.